GCAAACUUGGUCAUUUAGAGGAAGUAAAAGUCGUAACAAGGUUACCGUAGGUGAACCUGCGGUAGGAUCAUUAUCAAAUUAUCCAAACCAUUUUUUUAAUGGAAAAUCCAUUAAAAAAAGAAUAAUUCAUCUUUGUGUGAAUUAUUAUAGAAGAAGUUUAAAAGAAAAAAAAUAGAACAAUUUUUUUUUUGAAAUUUUGUCCUAUUUUUUUUCUCUUCUUCAAAAAAUUUAUAAACUCGUCUUACUCUUUUUGUCUGACAAAAAACUAUAAAAUUAAUAAAAAUACAACUUUCAACAACGGAUCUCUUGGUUCUCGCAUCGAUGAAGAACGCAGC
RNAcentral lists this unclassified non-coding RNA (335 nucleotides) under uncultured fungus. RNAcentral's name for it is "partial contains small subunit ribosomal RNA, internal transcribed spacer 1, and 5.8S ribosomal RNA". The stretch from base 1 to 73 matches the Rfam family "Eukaryotic small subunit ribosomal RNA", at positions 1759 to 1831 of the family's 1831-position model. Lineage: Eukaryota; Fungi. The record is from RNAcentral.